RNAcentral lists this ribosomal RNA (465 nucleotides) under Vreelandella stevensii. Its description in RNAcentral is "partial 16S ribosomal RNA". It matches the Rfam family "Bacterial small subunit ribosomal RNA", at positions 338 to 795 of the family's 1533-position model. Lineage: Bacteria; Pseudomonadati; Pseudomonadota; Gammaproteobacteria; Oceanospirillales; Halomonadaceae. The record is from RNAcentral.
CCUACGGGCGGCUGCAGUGGGGAAUAUUGGACAAUGGGCGAAAGCCUGAUCCAGCCAUGCCGCGUGUGUGAAGAAGGCCUUCGGGUUGUAAAGCACUUUCAGUGGGGAAGAAAGCCUUGGGGCUAAUACCCUCGAGGAAGGACAUCACCCACAGAAGAAGCACCGACUAACUCCGUGCCAGCAGCCGCGGUAAUACGGAGGGUGCGAGCGUUAAUCGGAAUUACUGGGCGUAAAGCGCGCGUAGGCGGUCUGAUAAGCCGGUUGUGAAAGCCCCGGGCUCAACCUGGGAACGGCAUCCGGAACUGUCAGGCUAGAGUGCAGGAGAGGAAGGUAGAAUUCCCGGUGUAGCGGUGAAAUGCGUAGAGAUCGGGAGGAAUACCAGUGGCGAAGGCGGCCUUCUGGACUGACACUGACGCUGAGGUGCGAAAGCGUGGGUAGCAAACAGGAUUAGAUACCCGUGUAGUC